AUUGAACGCUGGCGGCAGGCCUAACACAUGCAAGUCGAGCGGAAACGAGUUAUCUGAACCUUCGGGGAACGAUAACGGCGUCGAGCGGCGGACGGGUGAGUAAUGCCUAGGAAAUUGCCCUGAUGUGGGGGAUAACCAUUGGAAACGAUGGCUAAUACCGCAUAAAUGCCUACGGGCCGAAACGAAGGGGACCGUUCGGUCCGUCUCGCGUCAGGAUAUGCCUAGGUGGGAGUUAGUCUAGUUGGUGAGGUAAUGGCGUCACCAAGGCGACGAUCCCUACGCUGGUCUGAGAGGAUGAUCAGCCACACUGGAACUGAGACACGGUCCAGACUCCUACGGGAGGCAGCAGUGGGGAAGUAUUGCACAAUGGGCGCAAGCCUGAUGCAGCCAUGCCGCGUGUGUGAAGAAGGCCUUCGGGUUGUAAAGCACUUUCAGUCGUGA
Molecule: ribosomal RNA, 441 nt
Filed under: uncultured bacterium
Lineage: Bacteria
Description: bacterial SSU rRNA
Rfam family: Bacterial small subunit ribosomal RNA
Source: RNAcentral